AACGAACGCUGGCGGCAUGCCUAACACAUGCAAGUCGAACGAAUGCCUUCGGGUGAUAGUGGCGCACGGGUGCGUAACGCGUGGGAAUCUGCCCUUAGGUUCGGAAUAACAGCUGGAAACGGCGGCUAAUACCGGAUGAUAUCGCGAGAUCAAAGAUUUAUCGCCAGAGGAUGAACCCUCGGUGGAUUAGGUGGUGGGGGGGGUAAAGACCUACCAAGCCGACGACCCAUAGCUGGUCUGAGAGGAAGAGCAGCCACACUGGGACGGAGACACGGCCGAGAAUCUUACGCGAGGCAGGAGUGGGGGAUAGUGGACAACGGCGGGAAUGCUGAUCCAGCAAUGCCGGGUGAGCUAUGAAGUCCCUAGGGUAGUAAAGCUCUUUUACCCGGUAAGAUAAUGACUGUACCGGGAGAAUAAGCCCCGGCUAACUCCGUG
This 435-nucleotide ribosomal RNA is filed under the name uncultured bacterium. RNAcentral describes it as "partial 16S ribosomal RNA". It matches the Rfam family "Bacterial small subunit ribosomal RNA", at positions 29 to 507 of the family's 1533-position model. The record is from RNAcentral.